GCCCAUAUGGCGGAAUUGGUAGACGCAGCAGACUUAAAAUCUGCCGACCUUUAAAAGUCGUACUGGUUCGACUCCAGUUGUGGGCA
RNAcentral lists this transfer RNA (86 nucleotides) under Limisphaerales bacterium. Its description in RNAcentral is "tRNA-Leu". It matches the Rfam family "tRNA". From Rfam's summary of the family: Transfer RNA (tRNA) molecules are approximately 80 nucleotides in length. Their secondary structure includes four short double-helical elements and three loops (D, anti-codon, and T loops). Further hydrogen bonds mediate the characteristic L-shaped molecular structure. tRNAs have two regions of fundamental functional importance: the anti-codon, which is responsible for specific mRNA codon recognition, and the 3' end, to which the tRNAs corresponding amino acid is attached (by aminoacyl-tRNA synthetases). tRNAs cope with the degeneracy of the genetic code in two manners: having more than one tRNA (with a specific anti-codon) for a particular amino acid; and 'wobble' base-pairing, i.e. permitting non-standard base-pairing at the 3rd anti-codon position. Lineage: Bacteria; Pseudomonadati; Verrucomicrobiota; Verrucomicrobiia; Limisphaerales. The record is from RNAcentral.